RNAcentral lists this transfer RNA (71 nucleotides) under Camelus bactrianus (Bactrian camel). It matches the Rfam family "tRNA". Rfam says of the family: Transfer RNA (tRNA) molecules are approximately 80 nucleotides in length. Their secondary structure includes four short double-helical elements and three loops (D, anti-codon, and T loops). Lineage: Eukaryota; Metazoa; Chordata; Mammalia; Artiodactyla; Camelidae. The record is from Rfam by way of RNAcentral. RNAcentral also lists the same sequence under 1 other name.
GGAUAUAGCUUAAGUGGUGGAACACACGCCUAGCAUGCGUGAGGUCUUGGGUUCAAUCCCCAGUACCUCCG